This 347-nucleotide ribosomal RNA is filed under the name uncultured bacterium. RNAcentral describes it as "bacterial SSU rRNA". It matches the Rfam family "Bacterial small subunit ribosomal RNA", at positions 8 to 350 of the family's 1533-position model. The record is from RNAcentral.
AGAGUUUGAUCCUGGCUCAGGAUGAACGCUAGCUACAGGCUUAACACAUGCAAGUCGAGGGGCAACAUGUUGGUUGCUUGCAACCAACGAUGGCGACCGGCGCACGGGUGAGUAACGCGUAUCCAACCUACCCUUGUCCAUCGGAUAACCCGUCGAAAGGCGGCCUAACACGAUAUGCGGUUCACAGCAGGCAUCUAACGUGAACGAAAUGUAAAGGAGAAGGAUGGGGAUGCGUCUGAUUAGCUUGUUGGCGGGGUAACGGCCACCAAGGCGACGAUCAGUAGGGGUUCUGAGAGGAAGGUCCCCCANAUUGGAACUGAGACACGGUCCAAACUCCUACGGAGGCA